UACGGGGGGAGCUUAGUGUCAUUCGUCUUAACUGGGCGUAAAGGGUAAGUAUUUUAGAUGGCUUUGUAAGUAGGAAGUCAAAAAUUGUGGGCUUUAAUCCUUAAGGCUUUUUUGACUGCAAAGCUUGAGUUGGCACAAGAUGACGGUAUUUUCUAUGGAGAGGUGAAAUUUGUAGAUAUUUUUAUAGCAAAGACCAUCGUUGCGAAGGCAGUUAUCUGGUCCGACACUGACAUGAGGUACGAAAGGUGGGGAGCAAAGAGG
RNAcentral lists this unclassified non-coding RNA (261 nucleotides) under uncultured bacterium. RNAcentral describes it as "contains 16S-23S intergenic spacer region". It matches the Rfam family "Bacterial small subunit ribosomal RNA", at positions 524 to 776 of the family's 1533-position model. The record is from RNAcentral.